UACGGAGGGUGCAAACGUUGCUCGGAAUCAUUGGGCGUAAAGCGCACGUAGGCGGCCUAUUAAGUCGGAUGUGAAAGCCCUGGGCUCAACCCAGGAAGUGCAUUCGAAACUGGUAGGCUUGAGUAUGGAAGAGGGUCGCGGAAUUCCCGGUGGAGAGGUGAAAUUCGUAGAUAUCGGGAGGAACACCAGUGGCGAAGGCGGCGACCUGGGCCAAUACUGACGCUGAGGUGCGAAAGCGUGGGGAGCAAACAGG
This 253-nucleotide ribosomal RNA is filed under the name uncultured bacterium. RNAcentral's name for it is "partial 16S ribosomal RNA". It matches the Rfam family "Bacterial small subunit ribosomal RNA", at positions 524 to 776 of the family's 1533-position model. The record is from RNAcentral.